Molecule: ribosomal RNA, 334 nt
Filed under: uncultured eukaryote
Lineage: Eukaryota
Description: partial 18S ribosomal RNA
Rfam family: Eukaryotic small subunit ribosomal RNA
Source: RNAcentral
CCCUUAGAUGUCCGGGGCCGUACGCGCGCUACACUGAAGGAAUCAGCGUGGCUUUCUCCCUGACCCGAAAGGGUUGGGAAACCCGUUGAAUCUCCUUCGUGAUAGGGAUUGGGGCUUGAAAUUGUUCCCCAUGAACGAGGAAUUCCCAGUAAGCGCGAGUCAUAAGCUCGCGUUGAUUACGUCCCUGCCCUUUGUACACACCGCCCGUCGCUACUACCGAUUGAACGGUUUAGUGAGGGCCUCGGAUUGGUCUCGGCCCGCUCUUUACCGGGCGGCGCCGUUGGUCGAGAAGACGCUCGAACUUGAUCGUUUAGAGGAAGUAAAAGUCGUAACA